CCCUUAGAUGUUCUGGGCCGCACGCGUGCUACACUGAGUGGAUCAGCGGGUCAGGUUGCGCGAAAGCGUUUCCUAAUCUUUAAAUCCGCUCGUGAUGGGGAUUGACGGUUGCAAUUUUCUGUCAUGAACGAGGAAUACCUUGUAAGCGCGGGUCAUCAUCCCGCGCUGAAUACGUCCCUGCCCUUUGUACACACCGCCCGUCGCUCCUACCGAUUGAGUGGUCCGGUGAGGCUUUGGGAUCUGUGCGGAAAGAGCGUUUCGCUGUUUCUGCUCGGAAAACUCAGUCGAACCUUAUCAUUUAGAGGAAGGAGAAGUCGUAACA
This 322-nucleotide ribosomal RNA is filed under the name uncultured eukaryote. RNAcentral describes it as "partial 18S ribosomal RNA". It matches the Rfam family "Eukaryotic small subunit ribosomal RNA", at positions 1470 to 1796 of the family's 1831-position model. The record is from RNAcentral.